ACUGCUCAGUAACACGUUGAUAAUCUGCCUUUAGGUCAGGGAUAGGCUCGGGAAACUGAGGGUAACACCUGAUAGAAGAUUAGUUCUGGAAUGAUUUUUCUUUGAAAAGCAAUGCCUAAAGAUGAGUCAGCGGCCGAUUAGGCUGUUGGUGAGGUAAUGGCUCACCAAACCGAAGAUCGGUACGGGCCUUGAGAGAGGUAGCCCGGAGAAGGACACUGAGAUACUGGUCCUAGCCCUACGGGGUGCAGCAGGCGCGAAACCUUUACAAUGCACGAAAGUGUGAUAAGGGAAUCCAAAGUGCUUAUGUUUUUACAUAGGCUUUUGCCAAGAGUAAAUAUCUUGGAGAAUAAGUGAUGGGUAAGACUGGUGCCAGCAGCCGCGGUAACACCAGCGUCACAAGUGGGAAUCAUAUUUAUUGGGCCUAAAGCGUCCGUAGCCGGCGUAGUAAAUUUAUUGUGAAAUCAUUGCGCUUAACGCAAUGGCGGGCAGUAAACACUGCUAUGCUUGAGACUGGAAGGAGCCAGAAGUAUUCUUGGGGGAGCGGUAAAAUGCUAUAAUCCCAAGAGGACUACCUGUGGCGAAGGCGUCUGGCUAGUACAGUUCUGACGGUGAGGGACGAAAGCUAGGGGAGCGAUCCGGAUUAGAUACCCGAGUAGUCCUAGCUGUAAACGCUGCGAGUUAGGUGUUGCAUAUUCCACGAGAAUGUGCAGUGUCGAAGAGAAGUCGUUAAACUCGCCGCCUGGGAAGUAUGGUCGCAAGGCUGAAACUUAAAGGAAUUGGCGGGGGAGCAC
Molecule: ribosomal RNA, 791 nt
Filed under: uncultured archaeon
Lineage: Archaea
Description: bacterial SSU rRNA
Rfam family: Archaeal small subunit ribosomal RNA
Source: RNAcentral